GCCCCCGUGGCGCAAUGGUAGCGCACUGGUUUCCGGUACCAGAGGUUGCGAGUUCGAGUCUUGCCGGGGGCU
Molecule: transfer RNA, 72 nt
Organism: Sugiyamaella lignohabitans
Lineage: Eukaryota; Fungi; Ascomycota; Dipodascomycetes; Dipodascales; Trichomonascaceae
Rfam family: tRNA
About the family: Transfer RNA (tRNA) molecules are approximately 80 nucleotides in length.
Source: Rfam